Molecule: non-coding RNA, 46 nt
Organism: Trichobilharzia regenti
Lineage: Eukaryota; Metazoa; Platyhelminthes; Trematoda; Strigeidida; Schistosomatidae
Source: Rfam
GUACUGCUGAAGAGUCCCAAACUAGGAUGAAAGAGCUUUCCAGUAC